GGCAUGCUCAGGGCGAGUUUGCUGGAGGGGCCAACUACCGGUGCCGACCCGUGGCGAAAGAGCGUUUGAGAGCAGAGUUAGACUACGAACUGGCCAGGUGUUGAUGGCGAGCUAGAGCCUGGAACCGAAACAUGACUUUGGAUGUCAUGGAAAAUUCCUACUCCACUAAAUACUUUCUCCUGCUCUGGUCGGGCUGGUAGGAGGCUUUUUCACAGCCGCCCUUUCUUCUUUUUUCUGUUUUUUUUCCCUUUGACCGACCAAUCUACAUACGUAGUUGGAGCAUGUUCUUUCUGUUGGACAUUUGGUCGUUUUUGAAUUUUCUUUGGACUCGAGAACAACUGGGUGCAUGGACAGGUCACCCAGUCUGUUGGACUUUAACCAGAACCUGAUCCAUAACACAAACUUUUCUUUUUUUUUUCUGGGAUCUUUUCUUCCCUUUGAAUGGCCAUUCAUGUAAUUCAUGUACAUCAUGUAUAUUUGUCUUUUUUUUGUAUGUUUUUGUUAUUCUAAAAAAAUAUAUGGUACCAGCAAAACACAAAAAACCUUGUCUCAGUCUCUCCCUCUACUCCUAGAGUCAGAUUUGGUCUUCUGAUCUAGCCUACAGAAGCAUUGUGCUUAAGCUAAGCUAUUGGGACACAUUGGUUACAUCUGAUUCUGCAAACAUGUGUCUCUGAGCUCCUUAUCUUACUCAUGAAACUCUGCAUUACGACACAGAACCCUGGAAAUACUCUCUGAUAUUUGUGUGAUUGUGAGACGCCAAAAGGUUCAAAUUGUCUUUGUUUUUGACACUAAUAUGGAAAUUAAGCUUCAUAAAUGCUCCGUCUUCAUCUUCCAGCACGGCUCAGAUGAACAACCAACUUUGGUUCUUUUCUAGUUAUUUUUUUUUACUUUUUUCUUCUUCUCGUAAAUUAACGUAUUUCAAGUCCACAUUUACGUGAUUUAAAGAGAUAAUUGCACAACUUUAAAACUCUUACAUUUACAGAAAAAAGUAAUACACUCAGCCAAUGACUUUUUAAUUAAUAAAUAUAUGAAUUUACUAUCGUUAUCUACUAGUUAUGACUUUUUUCUCGUACAUUUAGGAGAAUUUCUGUUGUAAUUUUUGUUAUUAUUUUGUGUAAAAUGGCCCUAAUACACUGUCAUACAGAUGUUUUCUAAAUACCAAUGACAAAAAAAUGUUUCACUGUUUUAGUUAUCAGCUUUAAAGCUGAAAUAAUGUUAUUUCAUUCAGCCUGUAUUUGUCACUCAUCUGCCGUUCAUGACAUGGUUAAGAGAAAACGAGGGGCCAGAAAUACAUCAUACUAGUUAAAAUACGAAUGACAUUAAACAUAUUAGCUGAUCACAAAGUGAUCUCUAAAUUAUUAUCUACAAUCAAACUCACAAAAGUGUCAAAGAGGAGGAUCAGUGUACCUGUCCAGCUCACCCCCACCCUCCUGAACUAGUCCGUUCACAGAGCAAAGCCUUUGAAGACGACUUUGUUUUGAUGAAUGAGCCAAUGGGGAUUCAGUUGAAAGUAAACACACUCAGAUCAAACUUCCCGAUCGUGUUCU
Long non-coding RNA from Oryzias melastigma (Indian medaka), 1547 nucleotides. RefSeq lists it as uncharacterized. The record is from RefSeq and is a predicted model, not a curated record. The transcript has 3 exons. NCBI's taxonomy places the organism in Eukaryota, Metazoa, Chordata, Actinopteri, Beloniformes, Adrianichthyidae.